AUGUCCGCCCGGUUACAAGAAGGCGACGAGCAAAGGGGAACAAGGAUGCCAAAGCGUGGCCGUGAGCGACUUUACCUUGUCUUUGAUGACUGGUGCCAUGGAUAUAGCAUCCGCAUGGUAAACUUGUUGCAGCAUACUGCUGGCUCGGGCCAUCCAGCCCCGAUGCAUUUUACCCAGCCUUUCUGCCGCAUAAUGGCGCCUCUCGAGUCGUGCUUCACGUCAGCCUUUGGCUCUAAGAUUUUGGCGGUGUUUACCAGAGAUCCCGAAGCUGACUCUGAGAGCUACUUCCCAAUGUUGGACGUUCGCUCGCGGUGCGUCACCUUUGCCCCUGGGCAGUUAUGUCCUAUUCCUCCCAUCUACUACCUACCUGUCGGCAACGAGUUAUUCUGUCUGAGCUUCUGCUCCUUCGAGAUGCUCUGCUCGGAGGUGCUCUCCCCCCGGUUGGAGGAUCAGUCUUGCAGCAUGGGUUGGUCAUGGAAACAGCUCUCUGAGAAGCCGCCAUUCUACGUUGAUCACGUCACCUCCUACUCCUUGCAUCCUGAAGAACGGACCUUCCUCUUCAGCACCAAGACUGGCGCCACUGAGGCCACCUACACCUUUGACACCGAGAAACGUUCAUGGAAACUCCUUGGCAAUUGGAAGCUGCCCUUUGCUGGCUGCGGUCACUUUGACCCGGGCCUCAACUGCUUUGUCGGGCUCUCCAAAGAACCGGACACCCUUGGCCAACUUUACAGCUGCGAAGUGCCCAUCUAUGACACUGAUUAUGGUCUGUGCCCUCCCCCUGUAGUGAAGCUCUGCAAGGAGAAUCUGUUAAGUGAGCGCCCAAGUGAUAUGCAUGUUGGUGCUACCCUUGUCUACAUGGGAGGCAAGAGCGAAUUCUGCCUCGUACAGUGUGUCAUCCCUGAUCAGGACCGAAUGGAUGAGGACGACGUUGCUCAUGGUGUGCAGCUACCCGGUCGUCGCUUCUAUCGUCUCACCACAUUCUCUCUCAGCUUCAACAAGGAUAAAGAACUGACAACUGGCAAUACCCAUCGGCUGCAGUACUACAAAGUGCCUAAAAAAGCCACUAAGCCGUUCCUUCAAGACCCGGUGGCAUUUUGGAUGUAA
Molecule: ribosomal RNA, 1107 nt
Filed under: Triticum aestivum (bread wheat)
Lineage: Eukaryota; Viridiplantae; Streptophyta; Magnoliopsida; Poales; Poaceae
Description: partial small subunit ribosomal RNA
Source: RNAcentral